GGGGAAAUUCAAUACCGUCUUGACGGUGUGCACUUUUCUCCCAGUAAGACGCUGUGAUCCAUUAGAAAUCGGACCAUUCCAAUGGUUAGUGGGCUAUCAAAAGGCCGACAUGAAGUUCAGUGGUGUCGAUGGCAUGAUCAUAUACGGUUAUGUGUACGGCCCGCUGAGCAUGUUGAUACCUGAAAUAGCUGUCUGAUGGAUUUUAAAGGUCAUAUUACUGAUACUUUCGAGUAUCACCCAUUACGAUGGGAGUGGAUAUGUACCCGAUCAACAGCGGUUAAAUUUGUGAUACCUUUGGGACCCGUCUUGAAACACGGACCAAGGAGUCUAUCUAGUAUGCAAGUAAAUGGGUAUAUGAAACCUAUUUGCAUAAAAAACUUGACUUUCAAUGGGAUUACGAGUCGUUUUUAAAGACGGCUCCUCCAUCCCGGGGUAUUUUCAUCAACAUAUGCAGCAAUGUAUAUGGAAAAUAUACCAUGAGCGUACUGGAUAUGACCCGAAAGAUGGUGAACUAUGCCUGAUCAGGUUGAAGUCAGGGGAAACCCUGAUGGAGGACCGUAGUUGUUCUGACGUGCAAAUCGAUUACGCGAGUUGGGCAUAGG
Molecule: ribosomal RNA, 602 nt
Filed under: Stictocladius multiserialis
Lineage: Eukaryota; Metazoa; Arthropoda; Insecta; Diptera; Chironomidae
Description: eukaryotic LSU rRNA
Rfam family: Eukaryotic large subunit ribosomal RNA
Source: RNAcentral